This 124-nucleotide ribosomal RNA is filed under the name Balsamia alba. RNAcentral describes it as "partial 5.8S ribosomal RNA". It matches the Rfam family "5.8S ribosomal RNA", at positions 2 to 125 of the family's 154-position model. From Rfam's summary of the family: 5.8S ribosomal RNA (5.8S rRNA) is a component of the large subunit of the eukaryotic ribosome. Lineage: Eukaryota; Fungi; Ascomycota; Pezizomycetes; Pezizales; Helvellaceae. The record is from RNAcentral.
ACUUUCAACAACGGAUCUCUUGGUUCUCGCAUCGAUGAAGAACGCAGCGAANUGCGAUAAGUAAUGUGAAUUGCAGAANUCAGUGAAUCAUCGAAUCUUUGAACGCACAUUGCGCCCUCUGGCA